Molecule: long non-coding RNA, 525 nt
Filed under: Zostera marina
Lineage: Eukaryota; Viridiplantae; Streptophyta; Magnoliopsida; Alismatales; Zosteraceae
Description: long non-coding RNA (ZMAR_LNC005495)
Source: RNAcentral
AGCUUUUCAAAUCUCUACUUUGAGCUCCACAUUUCCAUUUCCAUCGUUCACCACCUUCAAAGCUUUCAAGCUUCCAACAUUCCAAGGUUGUGUCCAACUGCUCUUUGCUCAAAGCUCUAUACUUCUUCUUCUAAUCUUCUUAAGUGAUCCAUGUCAAGUUGAAGUGCUGCCCAAAACUCUUACAUCUUUUUGUUGUAUGUUGCACUUUGGUUGAGAGAGGUUGUUCUCAAGACUACCAAGGUGUGAGGUUAUUGAGCUUAACCAAAAAGCUCUAAGUUGGUUUUAUAGAGUUCCCUGGUAAAACUCUUAGGUUGAAUCUACCUGUAAAGAUUCAGUUGAUUUUAUAGAGUUCCCUGGUAAAACUCUUAGGUUGAAUCUACCUGUAAAGAUUCAGUUGGUUUUAUAUAGUUUCCUGGUAAUACUCUUAGGUUGAAUCUACCUGUAACGAUUCAGUUGGUUUUAUAGAGUUUCUUGGUAAUACUCUUAGGUGGAAUCUACCUGUAAAGGAUUCAAGGUUCUUGAGCG